Musa acuminata AAA Group (dessert banana) is the source of this 1354-nucleotide long non-coding RNA. RefSeq lists it as uncharacterized. The record is from RefSeq and is a predicted model, not a curated record. The transcript is spliced from 4 exons. Lineage: Eukaryota; Viridiplantae; Streptophyta; Magnoliopsida; Zingiberales; Musaceae.
UUCUCCUCGGCCCUCCGUCGCUCUGUCCUUUCCCUAAGGUCUUCGAUUCCGAAAGCCUUCAUGGUUCACAAGAGCAACACGCGUUGUCGAGGAGCUGUGGUGGAUUUUGAAUCGGGGUAGGUGCUUAUGGCCGUCUAUGAAGUGAAGUGGAGAAGAGAAGAGAAGAAGAAUGGACAGACUCGUGGGCCGGAAUCGAGGGAAGGCGAUGGGCGAUUGAUGUUACUCAUCUCAUUGCUCCCCCUCUUUUUUCCUGAAAAAGUUGAUAUUUGUGAUCCACGGGUUGAAACCAUUUGUAGUUGCUGGCGUUCCAACACGGAAAUUUGCUGAUCGAUUCCAUUCAUGUGAACAAGAAAGUGUAGUUUCUUUCAGAAUUCCAAGAAAAGGAUGUUCUGUACAUUCUUCGAUUUUGUGGGCUUACAUUUCAUGGAAAAUGCCGUGUGUGUAGAAUUUCAUUGCAAGAUCUCCUGAUAGAAAACAUGCAACCUUAACAAGAAAAUUUUGUUUCAGAUCCAUGCUAGUAUCAGUUUGCAGAGCACAGUCAGACUAGUCUGUGGCAGAGACCCAAAGAAUGGCAUAUUCUUAGCAAGACCACCUAGUGCCUUUGGCCUACUGAUCUAGUUGAGAUUUACCCAACACUCUUUGGUUCAUUUCUGAGGAUGUAGACUCAACUCAAUGAGAUCAGCAGCUGUAUGUGGUGGUACAAGCAGAUGCUGAGCAUCAACCUCCGUUAUCAGCAGAAUUUUUUCUCCGGAGUUUACUGAAUGUGCGUGCUCUGGGAGACAAGAAUGAAUCAAUUCGAUUAGGUGUCAUCAGAUACAUGUGAGACACCAGCAGCAACACUCAUCAAUUAGGUUCAGAGUCUUUGGGUCCAUCUCUUGUUGCAACAGUUGCUACUAUUCCUCAUGGCUCAAGAAAUGUCAUUUCCACUGCAGAUGGCAAUGGGUUGAAGGAAAUCCUUGCUUGUGAGUACAAGUUUGCCAGUGGACUACAUAGAUUUUGCUUGAACUCGAAACUUCAUCCAUACCUUUCCCAGGCCAGAAAACUUUUGGGAGUAGGUAGAACAAGAUAGUUUGAUAUGGACAACGGAAGGCGUCAAACCUACCCUACUACUACUACUACUAAUUCAAGGGAUGUGAGUUGUUUCGAGUAAGAAGAUGACCUCAUGAACAGUCUCUGGAGUGGCCAAGACCUAUUCAGUUCAAAGAGGAAGCACCUAACACCAGACAGACAUAAAUAGGAGGUCAUAAGAAAACUACAAGAAACUUGACAUUCCAUUAUUGAUCUGCCAGACUACUUCCCCAAGUACUUGCCAUUGUAGUCUGUGGUUUAUUUGCCACCGUUUUAGUUGUGAGGA